GGAAGCCCCACACUCCCUUCAUAACAGCCUCCCAAGCUCCAAAACCACUCUGCUUUUCCACUGAAACUUCCAUCCUGCAGCUCUCUAAGCCAAGGCAGCUGCCAGGCAAGAGAACUUGAUCUGACAAAUGAAUUCACACUAUUGUGAGAAUGACAUGCAGGCAGCACCUCAAAGGCCUCAGUUUCAUGGUGGCACUGCAGACAGGAGCAGUGACCAUAUGGUGGGGAGCGCCAGCAGGAAUCACAGUGACAGGACCUGCACCAGGGACCCCAAUGCUUCCAGCCCUGCUUCAUUGCCUCUCUUCAGCUUGCCAUGCACUGAAGAGCUCUGCAGCCAGGAGAAUCCUCAGGAAAAGGACAGAUCCGAUGCUAGCUCGUCUGCUCCACUUCGCAGGCGACAGAACUAAGGCCCACAGAGAGGAGUUGGCUUUCUGAGGUUCCCACCGUCAGUGACUGGUGAACCCAGGACCAGCACUUAGUCCCUCUUUCUCCUCAGCCUCUGCUCAACUGGAGACUACUCUGUGGCUAGAGGUCUCAGUGGGAAGACCAUGGGCCUGGCCUGUGCAUGGGCUAUGUGCUGUGCCUCUGUCUUCAAUGACGGCAGCUUUGCUGGAAACCCUAGGGACUCCCCUCCCAAAGCAAAGAGCAAAGCUGGCACAAGACCUGGGGAGAAGCCCGAAUUCAGAUUCCCAGAGAGGCAGGGCCCCUCGGAUUCCCAAAGCAGUUUCUUUGCUCUGAUUUUUGUCCUAGGUGUAAGCCAGCUCAGCAGAGGUCAUUCUGGAGUCUCCCAUAAUUGUUCUCACUGGACCAGGCAUUGGCAUGGCCAGUAGCCUGCACUGGGAUGUCAUAGGAACCGUCCCUGGAAACUCCAUCCCAGGAAACUCC
Molecule: long non-coding RNA, 884 nt
Filed under: Pan troglodytes (chimpanzee)
Lineage: Eukaryota; Metazoa; Chordata; Mammalia; Primates; Hominidae
Description: lncRNA (ENSPTRG00000052915.1)
Source: RNAcentral